RNAcentral lists this ribosomal RNA (498 nucleotides) under uncultured Gammaproteobacteria bacterium. Its description in RNAcentral is "bacterial SSU rRNA". It matches the Rfam family "Bacterial small subunit ribosomal RNA", at positions 38 to 529 of the family's 1533-position model. The record is from RNAcentral. Lineage: Bacteria; Pseudomonadati; Pseudomonadota; Gammaproteobacteria.
GGCGGUAUGCUUAACACAUGCAAGUCGAACGGCAGCACGUUUAGUAGCAAUACUAAAGGGUGGCGAGUGGCGGACGGGUGAGUAACACGUAGGAAUCUGCCCAAAAGAGGGGGAUAACCCGAGGAAACUCGGGCUAAUACCGCAUAAUUUCUGAGGAAUAAAGCUGGGGUAACCUGGCGCUUUUGGAGGAGCCUGCGUCCGAUUAGCUAGUUGGUGGGGUAAAAGCCUACCAAGGCGACGAUCGGUAGCUGGUCUGAGAGGAUGAUCAGCCACACUGGGACUGAGACACGGCCCAGACUCCUACGGGAGGCAGCAGUGGGGAAUAUUGGACAAUGGGGGCAACCCUGAUCCAGCAAUACCGCUUGUGUGAAGAAGGCCUUAGGGUUGUAAAGCACUUUAGGCAGGGAAGAAGAUUAGUAGUUUAAGAGAUGAUUAAUUUGACUGUACCUGCAGAAUAAGCACCGGCUAACUCUGUGCCAGCAGCCGCGGUAAUACUGA